RNAcentral lists this ribosomal RNA (511 nucleotides) under uncultured bacterium. RNAcentral's name for it is "bacterial SSU rRNA". It matches the Rfam family "Bacterial small subunit ribosomal RNA", at positions 37 to 507 of the family's 1533-position model. The record is from RNAcentral.
UGGCGGCGUGCCUAAUACAUGCAAGUCGAACGCACUCUCGUUUAGAUUGAAGGAGCUUGCUCCUGAUUGAUAAACAUUUGAGUGAGUGGCGGACGGGUGAGUAACACGUGGGUAACCUGCCCUAAAGUGGGGGAUAACAUUUGGAAACAGAUGCUAAUACCGCAUAAAACCUAACACCGCAUGGUGUAGGGUUGAAAGAUGGUUUCGGCUAUCACUUUAGGAUGGACCCGCGGUGCAUUAGUUAGUUGGUGAGGUAAAGGCUCACCAAGACCGUGAUGCAUAGCCGACCUGAGAGGGUAAUCGGCCACACUGGGACUGAGACACGGCCCAGACUCCUACGGGAGGCAGCAGUAGGGAAUCUUCCACGAUGGACGAAAGUCUGAUGGAGCAACGCCGCGUGAGUGAAGAAGGUUUUCGGAUCGUAAAACUCUGUUGUUGGAGAAGAAUGUAUCUGAUAGUAACUGAUCAGGUAGUGACGGUAUCCAACCAGAAAGCCACGGCUAACUACGUG